UCCGUAGGUGAACUUGCGGAAGGAUCAUUA
This 30-nucleotide ribosomal RNA is filed under the name Rhizopus arrhizus. RNAcentral describes it as "Rhizopus oryzae partial 18S ribosomal RNA". The record is from RNAcentral. Lineage: Eukaryota; Fungi; Mucoromycota; Mucoromycetes; Mucorales; Rhizopodaceae.